AACGAACGCUGGCGGCAUGCCUAACACAUGCAAGUCGAACGAGACCGUCGGGUCUAGUGGCGCACGGGUGCGUAACGCGUGGGAACCUGCCCUUAGGUUCGGAAUAACUCCCCGACAGGGGUGCUAAUACCGGAUAACGUCUUCGGACCAAAGAUUUAUCGCCUUUGGAUGGGCCCGCGUUGGAUUAGCUAGUUGGUAGGGUAAAAGCCUACCAAGGCGACGAUCCAUAGCUGGUCUGAGAGGAUGAUCAGCCACACUGGGACUGAGACACGGCCCAGACUCCUGCGGGAGGCAGCGGUGGGGAAUAUUGGGCAAUGGGCGAAAGCCUGAUCCAGCAAUGCCGCGUGAGUGAUGAAGGCCUUAGGGUUGUAAAGCCCUUUUACCCGGGAUGAUAAUGACAGUACCGGGAGAAUAAGCUCCGGCUAACUCCGUG
This 433-nucleotide ribosomal RNA is filed under the name uncultured bacterium. RNAcentral's name for it is "partial 16S ribosomal RNA". It matches the Rfam family "Bacterial small subunit ribosomal RNA", at positions 29 to 507 of the family's 1533-position model. The record is from RNAcentral.